This 496-nucleotide unclassified non-coding RNA is filed under the name Candida kantuleensis. RNAcentral's name for it is "partial contains ITS1, 5.8S rRNA and ITS2". The stretch from base 152 to 305 matches the Rfam family "5.8S ribosomal RNA". Lineage: Eukaryota; Fungi; Ascomycota; Pichiomycetes; Serinales; Debaryomycetaceae. The record is from RNAcentral.
AAGGAUCAUUACUGAUUUGUUUAAUUGCACCACAUGUGUCUUUUUUAUGAUAUACAUUUCUUUGGCAGCGAGUCUGACUUACUGCCAGAGGUUAUAAACUAAACCAAACUUUUUAUUUAUUCAGUCAACAACGAUUAUUUAUAAUAGUCAAAACUUUCAACAACGGAUCUCUUGGUUCUCGCAUCGAUGAAGAACGCAGCGAAAUGCGAUACGUAAUAUGAAUUGCAGAUAUUCGUGAAUCAUCGAAUCUUUGAACGCACAUUGCGCCCUUUGGUAUUCCAAAGGGCAUGCCUGUUUGAGCGUCAUUUCUCCCUCAAACCCUUGGGUUUGGUGUUGAGCAAUACGCUAGGUUUGUUUGAAAGAUGUAAUGUGGAAACUUAUUAGCGACUUAGGUUUAUCCAAAAAAAAACGCUUUUGUUUAGUGACCACCACAACUUUUUUAACUUUUGACCUCAAAUCAGGUAGGACUACCCGCUGAACUUAAGCAUAUCAAUAA